GCUCCAAUAGCGUAUAUUAAAGUUGUUGCAGUUAAAAAGCUCGUAGUUGAAUUUCAGGCCUGUUGGUCAGGUCUGCCUAACGGCAUGUACUUGGCUGGCAGGUCUUCUAGGCUGUUUCGGCCAGCUGCCUUACUGGGUGGCUGUGGUGCGGCAGCGUGUUACUGUGAAAAAAUUAGAGUGUUUAAAGCAUGCCUGUUGGC
Molecule: ribosomal RNA, 200 nt
Filed under: uncultured eukaryote
Lineage: Eukaryota
Description: partial 18S ribosomal RNA
Rfam family: Eukaryotic small subunit ribosomal RNA
Source: RNAcentral